This 253-nucleotide ribosomal RNA is filed under the name uncultured bacterium. RNAcentral's name for it is "partial 16S ribosomal RNA". It matches the Rfam family "Bacterial small subunit ribosomal RNA", at positions 524 to 776 of the family's 1533-position model. The record is from RNAcentral.
UACGUAGGUGGCAAGCGUUAUCCGGAAUUACUGGGUGUAAAGGGAGCGCAGGCGGGAUAGCAAGUCAGCGGUGAAAUGCAUGGGCUUAACCCAUGAGCUGCCGUUGAAACUGUUAUUCUUGAGUGGAGUAGAGGCAGGCGGAAUUCCGAGUGUAGCGGUGAAAUGCGUAGAUAUUCGGAGGAACACCAGUGGCGAAGGCGGCCUGCUGGGCUCUAACUGACGCUGAGGCUCGAAAGUGUGGGGAGCAAACAGG